This is a long non-coding RNA of Diceros bicornis minor, 754 nucleotides long. RefSeq lists it as uncharacterized. The record is from RefSeq and is a predicted model, not a curated record. The transcript is spliced from 3 exons. NCBI's taxonomy places the organism in Eukaryota, Metazoa, Chordata, Mammalia, Perissodactyla, Rhinocerotidae.
CAGAGACAGGGUGUGGCCUGUAAAGCCUGCAGUACGUACCAUCUGGCCCUUUACAGAACAAGCUUGCCAACCCCUGCUAAGCUGUCCCCUUUGCCUUUCCCGACGGCGGAACUGCAGGAACAGCUUCCUCUCUGAUCACACUCGCCGCUCUGGGCUCCAGGGGGGAAGAGACUAAGUUGUAUUAACUGGAUUAAUUGGGUUAACCUUGGCUGAACUCCUGGGGCACGAGCCUUGUUGCCCGACAGAACUUGCGUAGACCUCACCCAGUGUCCACUAGUGGUGGGGUGGAUGUGCUGACCACAGACCACCUGUUGCAGAUGGUUUCUGAGGUCAGUGUCUUUAUGGGAUUGCUGUCGAUUGAGCUGGAAAUGAAAGUACAGCCCGCUGCCUUUGUGCUCAUUUCAGGUGGAGAUCUGCACUGGUGCCGUGUUCAUGAGGCUGGUCUUGGGGUUGGAUGUUAACCUGGCCACCAUAGUUUUGCUGACAAUUACUGGCGUUUAUUCCAUCACAGGUGGUUUUGCAGCUGUGGUUUACACUGAUACCUUACACGCUGGCGUUAUGGUUCUGGGGUCAGUCUUGCUAAUGGGCUUUGUUUCCAGAUACUGGUGAGGUUGAGCAUCUUUUCAUGUACGGUCAGGCAUCACCUAAUGACAUUUUGGUCAAUGACAGACUGCAUAUACGACAGUGGUCCCACAAGAUCAUAAUGGAGCUGAAAAAGUCCUAUCACCUAGUGAUGUCAUAGCCAUCAUAACAU